This 761-nucleotide ribosomal RNA is filed under the name uncultured fungus. RNAcentral's name for it is "SSU rRNA". It matches the Rfam family "Eukaryotic small subunit ribosomal RNA", at positions 804 to 1590 of the family's 1831-position model. Lineage: Eukaryota; Fungi. The record is from RNAcentral.
UUAGCAUGGAAUAAUGGAAUAGGACUUUUGUUCUAUUUUGUUGGUUUCUAGGACCGCCGUAAUGAUUAAUAGGGACAGUUGGGGGCAUCAGUAUUCAAUUGUCAGAGGUGAAAUUCUUGGAUUUAUUGAAGACUAACUACUGCGAAAGCAUUUGCCAAGGAUGUUUUCAUUAAUCAGGAACGAAAGUUAGGGGAUCGAAGACGAUCAGAUACCGUCGUAGUCUUAACCAUAAACUAUGCCGACUAGGGAUCGGACGGUGUUAUUUUUUGACCCGUUCGGCACCUUACGAGAAAUCAAAGUGCUUGGGCUCCAGGGGGAGUAUGGUCGCAAGGCUGAAACUCAAAGAAAUUGACGGAAGGGCACCACCAGGGGUGGAGCCUGCGGCUUAAUUUGACUCAACACGGGGAAACUCACCAGGUCCAGACACAAUGAGGAUUGACAGAUUGAGAGCUCUUUCUUGAUUUUGUGGGUGGUGGUGCAUGGCCGUUCUUAGUUGGUGGAGUGAUUUGUCUGCUUAAUUGCGAUAACGAACGAGACCUUAACCUGCUAAAUAGCCCGUAUUGCUUUGGCAGUACGCUGGCUUCUUAGAGGGACUAUCGGCUCAAGCCGAUGGAAGUUUGAGGCAAUAACAGGUCUGUGAUGCCCUUAGAUGUUCUGGGCCGCACGCGCGUUACACUGACGGGGCCAGCGAGUCUUUCCUUGACCGAAAGGUCCGGGUAAUCUUGUGAAACCCCGUCGUGCUGGGGAUAGAGCAUUGCAAU